RNAcentral lists this ribosomal RNA (547 nucleotides) under uncultured Glomeromycotina. Its description in RNAcentral is "SSU rRNA". It matches the Rfam family "Eukaryotic small subunit ribosomal RNA", at positions 548 to 1098 of the family's 1831-position model. Lineage: Eukaryota; Fungi; Glomeromycota. The record is from RNAcentral.
UUGGAGGGCAGUCUGGUGCCAGCAGCCGCGGUAAUUCCAGCUCCAAUAGCGUAUAUUAAAGUUGUUGCAGUUAAAAAGCUCGUAGUUGAAUUUCGGGAUCAAAUUGUCGGUCGUGCCUCGGUACGCACUGGUAUUAUUGGUUCCUCCCUUCUGAAGAACUGCGAUGUCAUUAAUUUGGUGUCGUGGGAAAUCAGGACUGUUACUUUGAAAAAAUUAGAGUGUUUAAAGCAAGCGCACGCUUGAAUACAUUAGCAUGGAAUAAUGAAAUAGGACGUUUGAUUCUAUUUUGUUGGUUUCUAGGAUUGACGUAAUGAUUAAUAGGGAUAGUUGGGGGCAUUAGUAUUCAAUUGUCAGAGGUGAAAUUCUUGGAUUUAUUGAAGACUAACUACUGCGAAAGCAUUUGCCAAGGAUGUUUUCAUUAAUCAAGAACGAAAGUUAGGCGAUCGAAGACGAUCAGAUACCGUCGUAGUCUUAACCAUAAACUAUGCCGACUAGGGAUCGGAUGAUGUUAAUUUUUUAAUGACUCAUUCGGCGCCUUACGGGAAAC